RNAcentral lists this ribosomal RNA (223 nucleotides) under uncultured bacterium. Its description in RNAcentral is "partial 16S ribosomal RNA". It matches the Rfam family "Bacterial small subunit ribosomal RNA", at positions 114 to 334 of the family's 1533-position model. The record is from RNAcentral.
CACGUAAGUAAUCUACCUCUGGGUGGGGAAUAACAGUCGGAAACGACUGCUAAUACCGCAUAAUGCAGCGGCUCCUUAUGGAGACAGUUGUUAAAGUAUUUAUAUGCCUAGAGAGGAGCUUGCGGCAGAUUAGCUAGUUGGUAAGGUAAUGGCUUACCAAGGCAACGAUCUGUAGCCGACCUGAGAGGGUGGUCGGUCACACUGACACUGAAUAACGGGUCAG